UCAUAACCUGGCCGUCAUUCAGACCU
This 26-nucleotide non-coding RNA is filed under the name Rattus norvegicus (Norway rat). Lineage: Eukaryota; Metazoa; Chordata; Mammalia; Rodentia; Muridae. The record is from RNAcentral.